AUUUGCUUCCAAAUUAGGCUGUGAACUCUUCCAUGGCAGUAGCUCUGUCAGUUACCUCUGGAUUACUGUGACCACCACUGGACUAGGCACGUGCUAAACACUCAAUAGAUGUAGGUUGAAUGAAUGAAUGGCUUUUGGAUGAACCCGUGGCAAGAUGAGAGUUGGCACUGGGCGGAGAAUGGAUUUGCUACAGGAAUAAGACUGGAGGCAAGGAGACACUUGGUUUAUAGAAGAACUUCCAGCUUCAGGUAAUGGAGGAGUAAUUCCUUUCUGACCAGGCCUCCCGUAACUCAUUCUCAAUUCUGGAAAAAUACUGAAAGUAAAAGCACUGGAGAGCAACCAAUAACAGGCAGAAACUGGAGGGGGAGUUGACACUGGAAAAAAAUAGCACUGAGUGUUCUGUCUUUAUAGCUUGUUGCCUGAACACAGGCCCCAGUUAACUUCAUGUGAAACAACUAAAGC
RNAcentral lists this long non-coding RNA (462 nucleotides) under Homo sapiens (human). RNAcentral's name for it is "HSALNT0048279". The record is from RNAcentral. Lineage: Eukaryota; Metazoa; Chordata; Mammalia; Primates; Hominidae.